Molecule: ribosomal RNA, 464 nt
Filed under: uncultured bacterium
Lineage: Bacteria
Description: bacterial SSU rRNA
Rfam family: Bacterial small subunit ribosomal RNA
Source: RNAcentral
GACGAACGCUGGCGGCGUGCUUAACACAUGCAAGUCGAACGGUGAACCAGGGCUUGCCCUGGGGAUCAGUGGCGAACGGGUGAGUAACACGUGGGCAACCUGCCCCUGACUCUGGGAUAACUCCUCGAAAGAGGUGCUAAUACCGGAUACGACCAUUUCGGGCAUCCGAUGGUGGUGGAAAGAAUUUUGGUCAGGGAUGGGCCCGCGGCCUAUCAGCUUGUUGGUGGGGUAACGGCCCACCAAGGCGACGACGGGUAGCCGGCCUGAGAGGGCGACCGGCCACACUGGGACUGAGACACGGCCCAGACUCCUACGGGAGGCAGCAGUGGGGAAUAUUGCGCAAUGGGCGAAAGCCUGACGCAGCGACGCCGCGUGAGGGACGACGGCCUUCGGGUUGUAAACCUCUUCAGCAGGACGAAGCGAAAGUGACGGUACCUGCAGAAGAAGCACCGGCUAACUACGUG